RNAcentral lists this ribosomal RNA (1038 nucleotides) under uncultured bacterium. RNAcentral's name for it is "bacterial SSU rRNA". It matches the Rfam family "Bacterial small subunit ribosomal RNA", at positions 338 to 1384 of the family's 1533-position model. The record is from RNAcentral.
CCUACGGGAGGCAGCAGUGGGGAAUAUUGCACAAUGGGCGCAAGCCUGAUGCAGCGACGCCGCGUGGGGGAUGACGGCCUUCGGGUUGUAAACCUCUUUCAGCAGGGACGAAGCCUUUUGGGGUGACGGUACCUGCAGAAGAAGCGCCGGCCAACCACGUGCCAGCAGCCGCGGUAAUACGUAGGGUGCGAGCGUUGUCCGGAAUUAUUGGGCGUAAAGAGCUUGUAGGCGGUUUGUCGCGUCUGCCGUGAAAAUCCGGGGCUCAACCCCGGACUUGCGGUGGGUACGGGCAGACUAGAGUGUGGUAGGGGAGACUGGAAUUCCUGGUGUAGCGGUGAAAUGCGCAGAUAUCAGGAGGAACACCGAUGGCGAAGGCAGGUCUCUGGGCCACUACUGACGCUGAGAAGCGAAAGCGUGGGGAGCGAACAGGAUUAGAUACCCUGGUAGUCCACGCCGUAAACGUUGGGAACUAGGUGUGGGUCUCAUUCCACGAGAUCUGUGCCGCAGCUAACGCAUUAAGUUCCCCGCCUGGGGAGUACGGCCGCAAGGCUAAAACUCAAAGGAAUUGACGGGGGCCCGCACAAGCGGCGGAGCACGUGGAUUAAUUCGAUGCAACGCGAAGAACCUUACCAAGGCUUGACAUAUACCGGAAACAUCCAGAGAUGGGUGCCCCGCAAGGUCGGUAUACCGGUGGUGCAUGGUUGUCGUCAGCUCGUGUCGUGAGAUGUUGGGUUAAGUCCCGCAACGAGCGCAACCCUCGUUCUAUGUUGCCAGCGCGUAAAGGCGGGGACUCAUAGGAGACUGCCGGGGUCAACUCGGAGGAAAGUGGGGACGACGUCAAGUCAUCAUGCCCCUUAUGCCCAGGGCUGCAAACACGCUACAAUGGGCAGGACAAAGGGCUGCGAUCCCGCGAGGGUGAGCGAAUCCCACAAAGCCAGUCUCAGUUCGGGAUUGAGUCUGCAACUCGAUCCCGUGAAGUCGGAGUCGCUAGUAAUCGCAGAUCACCAACGGCUGCGGUGAAUACGUUCCGGGAAGGGG